Molecule: ribosomal RNA, 379 nt
Filed under: uncultured archaeon
Lineage: Archaea
Description: bacterial SSU rRNA
Rfam family: Archaeal small subunit ribosomal RNA
Source: RNAcentral
ACUUUACAAUGCUGGCAACAGCGAUAAGGGAACCUCGAGUGCCAGGUUACAAAUCUGGCUGUCGAGAUGCCUAAAAAGCAUUUCAUAGCAAGGGCCGGGCAAGACCGGUGCCAGCCGCCGCGGUAACACCGGCGGCUCGAGUGGUAACCGUUAUUAUUGGGUCUAAAGGGUCUGUAGCCGGCCGGAUAAGUCUCUUGGGAAAUCUGGCAGCUCAACUGUCAGGCUUUCAGGAGAUACUGUCUGGCUCGAGGCCGGGAGAGGUGAGAGGUACUUCAGGGGUAGGGGUGAAAUCUUGUAAUCCUUGAAGGACCACCAGUGGCGAAGGCGUCUCACCAGAACGGACCUGACGGCAAGGGACGAAAGCUAGGGGCACGAACCG